AUUUAUAUAUUAUUAAAGCAAAAUCUUUUACUAGCCACUAGUUGUACCUUCUUAGUCUACAGAUUCCUUAUAGGUACUUUGUUUUAUAGCAGUUAACAGUCUGUGACUGCAGGGUGAUUCAAAAAGAAUAACACAACUUUGAAAAUCUGUAUUUAAUCAAAGAAACAUGAUGACAACAGCUCUCCUAGCGACCUAAUGAGUAACCAAAUGAAACUUCAGAGCUUCCUUAAAUCAACGACAGAAAGAGCUUAGCUCCCCUUUUCUUCUUUGCAGAGUUUUCGAUUUUCAAAUUUGUGGGAUUCCUUUUGAAUCACCCUGUAUACAGUUUUUUCUGUUUUUAACAUCUGAUGUUUCCUGAUAGGUAAUCGUUUACAUCACUUUGGGAGAGGGAGUGAAAACGGGCAGUCAAUCAGUGUCUGAAAAGAGAAAAUACACCCAAUACAGAGGCUAGUAAGGAGCACUUCCAGUGCACAAAGUUAAUGUCUUAACAGAUUACAAGAUCAAGUCAUUAACAUGAACCAAAAGGACAAACUCGUCAAAA
This is a non-coding RNA of Danio rerio (zebrafish), 541 nucleotides long. Lineage: Eukaryota; Metazoa; Chordata; Actinopteri; Cypriniformes; Danionidae. The record is from RefSeq and is a predicted model, not a curated record.